CUACCGGAUUCCCUUAGUAACGGCGAGUGAAGCGGGACAAGCUCAGACUGAAAAGCUUCGGCGUUGUAGAUCUGGAGAAGUGAAGUCAGCAUUAAGUUUCGGAUAAAGUCUCUUGGAACAGAGCGCCGUGGAGGGUGAUAGCCCCGUUCAUGUCUGAAACGAAGUGUGUACGACUCGCUUUCUAAGAGUCGAGUUGUUUGGGAUUGCAGCUCUAAGUGGGUGGUAAAUUCCAUCUAAAGCUAAAUAUAAAUGGGAGACCGAUAGCGAACAAGUACCGUGAGGGAAAGAUGCAAAGAACUUUGAAAAGAGAGUUAAAUAGUACCUGAAAUUGCUGAAAUGGAACCGAUGGGAAGCAGUGUCGGCUGGGUGGUACUUGUACCAUUUAGCAAGUUAGGCUUCUUUAAUUAUGUGGGAAAAGCUUCUAAACCAGUUUGGGUUAGUUUUGCUGUCAUGUGAUUGAAGGACUCUGACGAAAUGCUUCUUAUCAACCCGUCUUGAAACACGGACCAAGGAGUCUAACAUGUGUGCGAGUGCUCGGGGUAAAACUCCCAGCGCGGAAUUAACGUAAAGGUGGAUUUAUUCACUGAGGUAGGAUCUGUAAAGUGCACUAUCGACCGACCAUGAUCCUUCGGGAGAAAGGUUUGAGUGUGAGCAUACAUGUUGGGACCCGAAAGAUGGUGAACUAUGCCUGAGUAGGGCGAAGCCAGGGGAAACUCUGGUGGAGGCCCGCAGCGAUUCUAACGUGCAAAUUGAUCGUC
Molecule: ribosomal RNA, 758 nt
Filed under: uncultured fungus
Lineage: Eukaryota; Fungi
Description: LSU rRNA
Rfam family: Eukaryotic large subunit ribosomal RNA
Source: RNAcentral